Balaenoptera acutorostrata (minke whale) is the source of this 494-nucleotide long non-coding RNA. RefSeq lists it as uncharacterized. NCBI's taxonomy places the organism in Eukaryota, Metazoa, Chordata, Mammalia, Artiodactyla, Balaenopteridae. The transcript is spliced from 3 exons. The record is from RefSeq and is a predicted model, not a curated record.
ACUUGCCAUGUUGAGCUUGUUACCAAACCAAACUGGGUCCAUCGCCUGACGUGCAACAAAGCCACUCUUCUGAUGCCAGACUGUGAUGAAGCCGCUGUGGAGAACAGUAUGGAGGUUCCUUAAAAAACUAAAAAUAAAGCUACCAUAUGAUCUAGCAAUCCCCCUCCUGGUCAUAUAUCUGGAAAAGAUGAAAACUCUAAUUCAAAAAGAAUUAUAUAUACAAUGGAAUGUUAGCCAUAAAAAAGAAUGAAAUUAUGCCAUUUGCAGCAACAUGGAUGGACCUAGAGAUGAUCAUACUAAGUGAAAAGCUGCAAAGUCCCCGCUGGUGUGUUCUGUGAGGUGCAUCGUCUGGUGGUGCAGGUGCCUCACCUAUGCCGGGGCACCCACCUGGGACGGCCGUGAGACCUGGUGAGAGAACUGUCAGAUCAUGAAGCUCUUCAAGCUUCUAGUUUCUCAUCUGUCAAGUCAGGAUAAUAACACCUGUCCUUCUUUAA